Non-coding RNA from Salvelinus sp. IW2-2015, 2140 nucleotides. The record is from RefSeq and is a predicted model, not a curated record. NCBI's taxonomy places the organism in Eukaryota, Metazoa, Chordata, Actinopteri, Salmoniformes, Salmonidae.
AUAUAACAAUUGAGCAGGCAGUAAAUAGAGACACGAUCUGUGAAGAUUGGGUACGCACUUGCACAGCAGUCAACAUGCCCCUUUCCGAAAGUGAUCACCCCUCCAUGAGGCAGUUUUUGAAGGAUAAAGUCAUCAAUGGAGGUGCCAUCCAUGGAUACCACCAGCAACAGGAAAAGUACUUGGGAGAUGUCUACCUGAAGGUGAAGGGAAGAACUCAAGCAACAUCUUGCAGGGAAACCAGUGGCAGUCAUCUUCGAUGAAACUCCAGAGGUUGAAGGAAGAUGUGUACUAAACAUCAUCACAUCACUUGAAAAGGAUACCUCGGAGAGAAUUCUUGCCUACCUCGACAGAGACGGUGUUUCUGGGGCAGUGCAACCAUUCAACAGUUUCCACGGCGGUGGUGAAACGUCUACGUGACGACAAUCACCAAUGAUGACGUCAUUGUCUUUGACACAGACAAUGCUGCGUACAUGAAGAAAGCCGACAGAGCUGCACUUCAGUCGUUGUUCCCCAUCUCCCUGCACAUAACAUGCAUGGUUCCCAUCAUGAAUCUGAUAAGGAUUGCUCUCUGCAAAACUUUUGAUCAGCUGGACGCAUUCACGCUACGUUUUCGCAGAUGUUUUACCAGCACGCAGAAUAAGAUACCUUUACCUUCCUCACCACCAAACUGGCAGGACGGAAGAGAGCAACUAUGGCUCCCAAUCCAUGUGCAACACGCUGGAACUCACGGUUCUCAGCAGUGCAGUACCACUCACAGCUGUUUGGCCUCUACAAGGGGUUCAUAAAGAUGGAAAUACAGAUGUGUGGCCCGAGGUACGAGAUGCUACAAGACCAAGAGCAGGUUCAGUCGCUGCAGAUUCAGCUGAACAUCAUGGCAGACAUGUUCAAAGUCGUCCUGCAGCUUCUCGACGUCUUCCAGAGCAGACGCCCGUGACAACAAAGAUCUUUCACUAUUUAGAGGACUUGCAGAUGAACAUUGCAGCCGUCAAAGAACUACAGUAGGAGGCUUGUUCACACUGCUUUGACACAGUUGACGACGUACCCUUUGCUGUGAAAACAAAAAUCUUGAGCACCGUUGAAGAGGCAUACAGCAAUGCAGAGGAAAAACUCCAUGGCAAACUGUCAGAUAGUCAGCCUGCCCUGGAGCUCCUCCAAGACGUUAGGGUGUUUGAUCAACGUCACAUUGCGUUCAUGGAUGACAGAGUGUCCAGCUACAAGGCUAUUACAGGCUUCAGUAAGGUGCCACGAGAUGAACUGGAUGCCUACUUGACCAAUGUAGGACCAGCAGCACUUAGAGCCACAGUGAGUGGGGUGGUGGAUUUGGAUAUCUUCUGGGAUGGACAUCAAGAGAGACUUCCUGUGCUGAGCACCCUGGCCAAACGCUACAAAGAUGCAGUCUCAAACUCAGCUCAUGCUGAGCGAAGCAACAGUAUCUACAAGCUUGUGUUGUCCAGCCGUAGGCGAUCAACCUCCAACAACAACCUACGAGCCUUGGUCUUCAUGUACCACAACCGACGACUCCACAGUGGAGCAAUUGAUAUGGAGGAGGAUAGGGAGGAUGAAACGGAGGAUGAAAUGGAUGAUUACAUUGAGAUAUAGGCCUAGAUGAGCUAGGACCUUGGUCACACCCACCUCUUGUUAUGUGCAGAAAAAUAUGUUUUUGUUAAAAAAAAGAAACAGCCCAAAAGAUUUGUCUAAUUGUUUUCAUGAAAGAUGAACUUAUAUAAUAUGUCUUAAUUACAGAUUGGACCACAGGUGUUUCUUUUGUCCUAGUUUAAUAUUUUUUAGUACCUACAUAUUAUGGGGGCAUGCAUUUUGUUUAUGUUGGAACUCUGAGCUAGCUUCCACCCUUUUUUUUGUUCAGAAAAAGAGCUGUUUGUUUAGGAAAAUAAACAAAAUUGAGCACUUUAAAUGUUUCUAAUUUUAUCCCGCUUAAAAUCGUCCUAAAACUGAGCACAUAUUACUUUUUAAGGCUUUAUAUGAAAUGAACGUGAAAAAAAAACAUUGCAAAAUGUAUGGCAGAAUUUCAGAAAAGCUGCUGCAAAAUCAAGCAUCUGUGGCUGCAGAAAUCACWAAAAAGUUUUGCGAAAUCCUGGAGGGACUCAUAAUAAUAUAUAUUUUUUUAAAUAGUCCUCCCGGG